Molecule: long non-coding RNA, 764 nt
Organism: Brassica rapa (field mustard)
Lineage: Eukaryota; Viridiplantae; Streptophyta; Magnoliopsida; Brassicales; Brassicaceae
Source: RefSeq, a predicted model, not a curated record
CAAAAAGGGCAAACUCGAAAGGGUGAUCAGGUUUCCCGUAGGUUCCGAAGACGGUGUCCAACCAAUCCUCUUGGGCGAAACUUGUGAUUAGUUGCAGAUUUCAGUCUAUCAGAAUCACUUGGGCAACCAAAUCAUCGAGUUAGGUAAACAGAGACGAACAGAGUUGAGGUUUUACAAGAUUCCAACAAUCCAAAAAUUCUAUCCUUCCGCUGUGUGAAGGGAGCUGCUUCCCAAACAUCACUCGCAAACUUACACUGAAAAAACAGAUGAGGGAUAGAUUCAAUGGCACCACGUCUCUUACAUACCGGCUCAACAUUGAUAUGUCUUUCUACCAGUCUUGCGCUCACAGGGAGGGCUCCUUUAGCUGCUUUCCAGAUCAACAUUUUAACCUUUGGGGCUGUAGGUAGGUUCCAUACAGACUGGAACCAGUUGACGUUGACGUCUGAAGGUUGAAGGCCAUGUGAAAAAAACAUUGCAUAGUAUAUAUAAACCUUUCAAAAACUUUGAUAUUUUUUCUUUGAAUCAGAAUAUUUUAAGCCAAAAACCUAGCUCAUUUUAAAAAUAAAAAUUAGAUUUUCAUCCGCCUUUUAAGACACUGAGAUUGUUGUUUAGCGUUUAACAAAAUUUUAGUUUUUGUCAUUUUUAAUUAUUUAUGAAUUAUUAAACAAAAAUUGUCAAAGGAGGUAAGAUAAUUAAUUCAAUUCUCUUUGCAGCCAAGUGAAGAGAAUUUAACAUUAGUAUUUGUCUGCUACGAAACUGAGAUU